Molecule: ribosomal RNA, 437 nt
Filed under: uncultured Oscillospiraceae bacterium
Lineage: Bacteria; Bacillati; Bacillota; Clostridia; Eubacteriales; Oscillospiraceae
Description: partial 16S ribosomal RNA
Rfam family: Bacterial small subunit ribosomal RNA
Source: RNAcentral
ACGGAAGGCAGCAGUGGGGAAUAUUGGGCAAUGGGCGAAAGCCUGACCCAGCGACGCCGCGUGAAGGAAGAAGGUCUUCGGAUUGUAAACUUCUUUUAUAUGGGACGAAGAAAAUGACGGUACCAUAUGAAUAAGCCACGGCUAACUACGUGCCAGCAGCCGCGGUAAUACGUAGGUGGCAAGCGUUAUCCGGAUUUACUGGGUGUAAAGGGUGUGUAGGCGGGACUGCAAGUCAGAUGUGAAAACUAUGGGCUUAACUCAUAGCCUGCAUUUGAAACCGUGGUUCUUGAGUGUCGGAGGGGUUACUGGACUUCCCGGUGUAGCGGUGAAAUGCGUAGCUAUCGGGAGGAACACCCGUGGCGAAGGCGAGUAACUGGACGAUACCUGACGCUGAGACACGAAGGUGUGGGGAGCAAACAGGAUUAGAUGCCCUGGUA